AGAACGAACGCUGGCGGCAUGCCUAAUACAUGCAAGUCGAACGAACUCUUCGGAGUUAGUGGCGCACGGGUGCGUAACGCGUGGGAAUCUGCCCCUUGGUUCGGAAUAACAGUUGGAAACGACUGCUAAUACCGGAUGAUGACGAAAGUCCAAAGAUUUAUCGCCAAGGGAUGAGCCCGCGUAGGAUUAGCUAGUUGGUGAGGUAAAGGCUCACCAAGGCAACGAUCCUUAGCUGGUCUGAGAGGAUGAUCAGCCACACUGGGACUGAGACACGGCCCAGACUCCUACGGGAGGCAGCAGUAGGGAAUAUUGGACAACGGGCGAAAGCCUGAUCCAGCAAUGCCGCGUGAGUGAUGAAGCCUA
Molecule: ribosomal RNA, 363 nt
Filed under: uncultured soil bacterium
Lineage: Bacteria
Description: bacterial SSU rRNA
Rfam family: Bacterial small subunit ribosomal RNA
Source: RNAcentral